Xylaria intraflava is the source of this 112-nucleotide non-coding RNA. Lineage: Eukaryota; Fungi; Ascomycota; Sordariomycetes; Xylariales; Xylariaceae. The record is from the annotation of a GenBank genome assembly.
UCCGAAUUGGUGUAGUGGCUAACAUUUGACGCUCUCAUCUCAUCUUCCACGCUUUGGUCUGGAUGUGUUAUGGCGUGCCGUCAAGCCCGGGGUUCGAUUCCCCGAUUCGGAG